CACGUAGGGGGCGAGCGUUGUCCGGAUUUAUUGGGCGUAAAGAGCUCGUAGGCGGCUCGGUAAGUCGGGUGUGAAACCUCCAGGCUCAACCUGGAGACGCCACCCGAUACUGCCGUGGCUAGAGUCCGGUAGAGGAGCGUAGAAUUCCUGGUGUAGCGGUGAAAUGCGUAGAUAUUGGAAGGAAUACCAGUGGCGAAGGCGACUAUCUGGGCAAAUACUGACACUGAGACACGAAAGCGUGGGGAGCGAACAGG
This 254-nucleotide ribosomal RNA is filed under the name uncultured bacterium. RNAcentral describes it as "partial 16S ribosomal RNA". It matches the Rfam family "Bacterial small subunit ribosomal RNA", at positions 524 to 776 of the family's 1533-position model. The record is from RNAcentral.